GAUGAAGAACGUAGCGAAAUGCGAUAAGUAGUGUGAAUUGCAGAAUUCCGUGAAUCAUCGAAUCUUUGAACGCACAUUGCGCCCGCGAGUAUUCUCGCGGGCAUGCCUGUCCGAGCGUCAUUUCAACCCUCAGGGCCCGCCUGCUUCGGCAGGCGCGGCGCUGGUGUUGGGGAUCGGCCUAACCGCCGUCCCCCAAAUACAGUGGCGGUCUCGCUGCAGCCUCCCCUGCGUAGUAGCAACACUCGCAUGCGGAGCGCGGCGCGGCCACGCCGUAAAACCCCCGACUUUCUAAACGUUGACCUCGGAUCAGGUAGGAAUACCCGCUGAACUUAAGCAUAUCAAUAAGCGGAGGA
RNAcentral lists this unclassified non-coding RNA (353 nucleotides) under soil metagenome. RNAcentral describes it as "partial contains 5.8S ribosomal RNA, internal transcribed spacer 2, and large subunit ribosomal RNA". The stretch from base 1 to 120 matches the Rfam family "5.8S ribosomal RNA", at positions 35 to 154 of the family's 154-position model. The record is from RNAcentral.